AUACCUUACCUGGUGCCGGAGACUCCGUGAUCAGGAAGGCGGAGACCCCAGGAGGAGGCCCUUCCAUUGCACUUCGGAAGGGCUGAGACCUGCCACUCUCCCAAACUAGGAAAGAUUGGGCAUAUAAUUUUUGGCAGACAGAAAGAGAAAUAUUAUGCCUCUGC
RNAcentral lists this small nuclear RNA (164 nucleotides) under Tropilaelaps mercedesae. RNAcentral describes it as "U1 spliceosomal RNA". It matches the Rfam family "U1 spliceosomal RNA". From Rfam's summary of the family: U1 is a small nuclear RNA (snRNA) component of the spliceosome (involved in pre-mRNA splicing). Its 5' end forms complementary base pairs with the 5' splice junction, thus defining the 5' donor site of an intron. There are significant differences in sequence and secondary structure between metazoan and yeast U1 snRNAs, the latter being much longer (568 nucleotides as compared to 164 nucleotides in human). The record is from Rfam by way of RNAcentral. Lineage: Eukaryota; Metazoa; Arthropoda; Arachnida; Mesostigmata; Laelapidae.